RNAcentral lists this ribosomal RNA (468 nucleotides) under uncultured bacterium. RNAcentral's name for it is "partial 16S ribosomal RNA". It matches the Rfam family "Bacterial small subunit ribosomal RNA", at positions 28 to 507 of the family's 1533-position model. The record is from RNAcentral.
GACGAACGCUGGCGGCGUGCUUAACACAUGCAAGUCGAACGGAAAGGCCCUGCUUUUGUGGGGUGCUCGAGUGGCGAACGGGUGAGUAACACGUGAGUAACCUGCCCUUGACUUUGGGAUAACUUACGGAAACUGGGGCUAAUAAAGAAUAGAAGAUACUACUGCAUGGUGGGAGUUGGAAAGAUUCGGAGGUUGGGGAGGGAAUAGAGGCUUAUCAGCUUGUUGGUGGGGUAGUGGAUUACAAAGUACUUGACGGGUAGCCUGCCUGUGAGGGUGACCGGCUACCUGUUUUCUGAGAGACGUCUGUGACUGCUACGGGAGGCAGAAGUGGGGAAGAUUGCACAAUGGGCGGAAGGCUGAUGCAGCAACUUUGCGGGCGGGAUAACGGCCUUCGGGUGGUAAACCGAUUUCGCCUGUGACGAAGCGUGUUUGACGGUAAUGGGUAAAGAAGCACCGGCUAACUACGUG